This 497-nucleotide ribosomal RNA is filed under the name uncultured bacterium. RNAcentral describes it as "partial 16S ribosomal RNA". It matches the Rfam family "Bacterial small subunit ribosomal RNA", at positions 28 to 507 of the family's 1533-position model. The record is from RNAcentral.
GAUGAACGCUGGCGGCGUGCCUAAUACAUGCAAGUCGAGCGAACGGACGAGAAGCUUGCUUCUCUGAUGUUAGCGGCGGACGGGUGAGUAACACGUGGAUAACCUACCUAUAAGACUGGGAUAACUUCGGGAAACCGGAGCUAAUACCGGAUAAUAUUUUGAACCGCAUGGUUCAAAAGUGAAAGACGGUCUUGCUGUCACUUAUAGAUGGAUCCGCGCUGCAUUAGCUAGUUGGUAAGGUAACGGCUUACCAAGGCAACGAUGCAUAGCCGACCUGAGAGGGUGAUCGGCCACACUGGAACUGAGACACGGUCCAGGCUCCUACGGGAGGCAGCAGUAGGGAAUCGUCCGCAAUGGGCGAAAGCCUGACGGAGCAACGCCGCGUGAGUGAUGAAGGUCUUCGGAUCGUAAAACUCUGUUAUUAGGGAAGAACAUAUGUGUAAGUAACUGUGCACAUCUUGACGGUACCUAAUCAGAAAGCCACGGCUAACUACGUG